Molecule: long non-coding RNA, 1065 nt
Filed under: Ursus maritimus (polar bear)
Lineage: Eukaryota; Metazoa; Chordata; Mammalia; Carnivora; Ursidae
Description: lncRNA (ENSUMAG00000011820.1)
Source: RNAcentral
UCUGCCUCUUGGAUCCAGAUUCACCCUUUAGUACCUGUUCUUUGAUAAUGGACUGGACUCAGCACUUCUUCCUUACAGUGAGCCUGAGGUUGGCUUUGUCAGUAGAGGGCACUGGAGGGACACUGGAGGAAGGAAAGGACUUGUCUUCUUGGCUGCAGGGAGCUCUGGCUUGCUUUUCCUUGCUCCUGUGCCAAGGUCUAUGAGCAGUGCAUGUGCAUGGGGACGGCGGGGACUGGUGGGGGGGCAGGCACUCCCUCGGCAACCUUGCAGACCGGGUGCAGCCCCAGUGACUACCUUGCGGUGGCCCUCCGGGCAGGGAUGCUGCGUGCUCCAGGCCUUGCACCUGGGCCAACUCCCGAACUCUGCACCUGCACCCUCAGCCUUUGUUACCUCUGCCCUGGACCAUUUUUCCCAGAGCCCCCAGGCAUGGGCACCAUAUACCCCACAGCAGUGCCCCGACUCCCUCUGCACAUCUGCUCACCAACUUUAGCUCUGCUCCCAGGAGGCCUGAUUCGCAUGGCCCUCCAGGCCUUGUGUGGAGGUCAUGCACUCCAGGCCUCGUGCACAGGGGACACGCUUAGCCCCUUUGGUCACCAUCCCAACAGUCUUGGCUCACCUGUGGCCUGGAAGGUCGUUUCCUGGGAUCUUCCCAUUGUGGGUACUGCAUGCUCAGGGCCUGGGGCCUGCAGGUGGUGUCCUUACGCUCCCUGUGCACCUGCUCACCAGCCUCACUCACCUGCGUCCUGGAGGACGGUGUGUUGCCUGGCAGCGCGAAGCACCUCUGGCCUGGGCAAACCCGUGAACUUGUCUGCCGCCCAGUGGGCUGCAGUGAGGUCUGAACCUCCGUCUUGGGGUGGGGGGACCCUGCCACGUUUGUCCUUUCUUGGGUACUCUCCCUCAGCUCUCAGGCACCUGUUUAGAAUUCUCUUUACAUCUUUAUAUUCUUUUGCCAUAAUUUUUGCCAUUACUUUAUAAUUAAUUUAUUAAUGUAGUUAUUAAUUAAUUUGUAGUAAACUUGUCGUGUAUAAAUUACCGUAUGUUUUCUGUCUCCUGAUUGGACCUAGA